CCUACGGGAGGCAGCAGUGAGGAAUAUUGGUCAAUGGACGAGAGUCUGAAGCAGCCAAGUAGCGUGAAGGAUGACUGCCCUAGGGGUUGUAAACUUCUUUUAUAAAGGAAUACAACGAGUCACGUGUGCCGUUUUGCAUGUACUUUAUGAGUAAGGAUAGGCUAACUCCGUGCCAGCAGCCGCGGUAAUACGGAGGAUACGAGCGUUAUCCGGAUUUAUUGGGUGUAAAGGGAGCGUAGAUGGGUUGUUAAGUCAGUUGUGAAAGUUUGCGGCUCAACCGUAAAAUUGCAAUUGAUACUGGCAGUCUUGAGUACAGUUGAGGUAGGCGGAAUUCGUGGUGUAGCGGUGAAAUGCUUAGAUAUCACGAAGAACCUCGAUUGCGAAGGCAGCUUACUAAACUGUGACUGACAUUGAUGCUCGAAAGUGUGGGUAUCAAACAGGAUUAGAUACCCUAGUAGUC
This 460-nucleotide ribosomal RNA is filed under the name uncultured bacterium. Its description in RNAcentral is "partial 16S ribosomal RNA". It matches the Rfam family "Bacterial small subunit ribosomal RNA", at positions 338 to 795 of the family's 1533-position model. The record is from RNAcentral.